CUACAACCUGCUUCCGAUUGUUUGGCAUCAGUAGAACAUAUGCGGCACCCAACUGCUGGGCUUAAUGUUGUAUGAAUUGAAUGCUAGACCCUUAUCUAUCAUUUAUUUGUCUCAUGUGUAUAUGCCCAUAUAUAUUACAGACAUUUUUUAUUUAAUUAUUCAGGAAUUGGCACAUGAGUUGCAUUAUCUCAUUCCUCUGGGUCCCCCUCACUGACAGAAUAAUGCAAAGGAGCCGUAGCUAACACUUAUACUCUUUGGGUUGUUCAUCAGGAAAUAAGGCCUCAUUAAACUGCCUGUAUCACACAGCAAGAAAUUAUCCUUAAGGAGUGCCUGGCAUCGAAAGCCUCUCUCAUCCCUUAUCCCUUCACCGGCUGCUGUAAGAAAAGUUGCAUGGCUCAGUCAUAAUUUACAGGCAAGUCUCAAUAUUUGGGCUGUGUCAUUUUGAUGGAUAUAGAGCUGUCCCCACUACAAGGUCAACAUGUGUAUCUGUUUAUUCGGGGAAAUAUAUGGCACGAGGGAGAAAGAGCAGCGUGUCAGAAGGCUCUUUCUCAGUUUGAGGCUUCCUUCUCUGCUUACUGGGUGGCCUUUGGCAAAUUCCUGCAUUACAGCUUUCCCUUCUUUCUCCAAAAUGUAAAAUGGGAAUAAUGGCAACCUUACCCUAGGAAGAUGUACAAAAUGAAGUCUGUGCAACAGUCUCAGUAAAGGUGGUACAGUGGUACCUCGGGUUACAGACGCUUCAGGUUACAGACUCUGCUAACCCAGAAAUAGUACCUUGGGUUAAGAACUUUGCUUCAGGAUGAGAACAGAAAUCGCGCGGCGGCAGCAGGAGGCCCCAUUAGCUAAAGUGGUACCUCAGGUUAAGAACAGUUUCAGGUUAAGAACAGACCUCCAGAUGAAUUAAGUUCUUAACCCGAAGUCCUAUGCACAUUUACUUGGAAGUGAGCCCCACGGAGGGACUUCCUUCAGUGUAGAAAUGAAUAGGUUUCCACCCUUGAUCUGAGAGCUGGCCCAUGACAGCCCACUAUUGAUAACGUGUCUACUAUGUUCUUGCGCUAUUUCCAUUCAGUGGUGCUUGUGCAAAAGAAUAGCCAUGCUAGGUAAAGGUAAAGGGACCCCUGACCAUUAGGUCCAGUCGUGGCCGACUCUGGGGUUGUGGCACUCAUCUCGCUUUAUUGGCCGAGGGAGCCGGCAUACAGCUUCCGGGUCAUGUGGCCAGCAUGACUAAGCCACUUCUGGCGAACCAGAGCAGCUCACGGAAACGCCAUUUACCUUCCCGCCAGAGCGGUACCUAUUUAUCUACUUGCACUAUGACGUGCUUUCGAACUGCAAGGUUGGCAGGAGCAGGGACUGAGCAACGGGAGCUCAUCCCAUCAUGGGGAUUCAAACUGCCGACCUUCUGAUUGGCAAGUCCUAGGCUCAGUGGUUUAACCCACAGUGCCACCCGUGUCCCAAUAGCCAUGCUAGUAGGUGAUAUUUGUACUUAUUAGACUCCAGCAGCAUCUGAAUGGUGCCACAUUAGCUUCCCCACUUUAUAUUAUUUCUACAGUUCUGUUAAUUAUUUAUUUUUUAAGCUUCUUUGAUUAGAAAUUAUAAUAUUGAUUUCAUGAUGCAUCCUUUUUUCAUUAUUACUACUAUUAUUACUGAUGAUGAUGAUGAUGAUAUUAAUCACUGAGUAAAACCCAGUGAAAUCAAUGAGCUUGAAUAACUUGGGUUUACUCUGAAUAUGACUAAUGUUGGAGAUCAUCCUUUUUUGUAUUUAAAUUGCCUGUCGCUGUUUCACUAUGUUCUUGUUCAUUUGAUAUGUUCAUAUGGAUAUAUUGACUAACCUGUCAUUUACCUCUCUUGUGCUUUAUUAUUGUUGUGACCUGCUUUGAACUCAACUUUCUUCUUGGAAGAACAGCACACAAAAAUCAAAACAAAUCAUCAUUUGGCAAAAGAUGUAUAUAUGAGCCAUAAAAGUGGUGAGAUAAGAGCAUCCCAAUGGAUCUUUGAAGCUUAAAGCAAUCAUUUUCAAAGAAUAUUGUUAGAAUGUUUAUAAUACAUGAAUUUCUGAGUGGUUUUGGAGACUUGAGACUGGUUUAUAGAAAAGCAGAGAAGAAGCAACACAGAGAUUUCCCAAUGCUCCCCCAACCAUUAUCUCUAGAUACCAGGAAGGCAGAAGAGCAGAAUUCUGUCCUUAGGUCUAUUCAGCUAUUCAUCAAUUCAAUAGAAACAGAUUCCAAUUAUAAUAAUUCUCUUACUGUGUGGAAGUUACCUAACAAUGUCACUCAGCAACUGUCAAUGACUCCUGGACUCUAGAACCUGCAAUGACUUCUAGCCAUUCUCUGGCUGAAAGCCAAUCGUUACCUGAUUGUGACUUCCACAACGGCCUGUCCACUGCUGGAAACAAGAAACUGGCCUGCACGGUCCAUUAAUCUGAUCCAACACAGCUCUUCUGUUUGAGGGAUGUCAAAUUUCCCAGCUAACCUAACACUAAGCCAGUUGAAGCACAUUUACAAAGCACUAAUGAAGCACUUCUCUGUGGGCCACAACACUUAGCAUAAAGAAAUUCCUCUUAUUUCAUUGGGAUUUGUUCCAAAGUGUGUGCUUAUGACUGUAGCCUUAGUGUGGGGCGGGGGUUAAGUGCUUCAGAGCUUCUGGCAGCAGAGUGCUUCAAUGGGCACUCUGGAGAACCAGCUCUCCCAUCCUGCCUUGAGGUCAAAGAGUGAAGAAAGAUACCCUCAGGGUAAUAGGAAAUUGCCUAGAGUCUAGAGUGGCUGUAGGCAACUGUAAGCAGCUGAUCAGGUG
Molecule: non-coding RNA, 2787 nt
Organism: Podarcis lilfordi (Lilford's wall lizard)
Lineage: Eukaryota; Metazoa; Chordata; Lepidosauria; Squamata; Lacertidae
Source: the annotation of a GenBank genome assembly